Non-coding RNA from Microcebus murinus (gray mouse lemur), 847 nucleotides. The record is from RefSeq and is a predicted model, not a curated record. NCBI's taxonomy places the organism in Eukaryota, Metazoa, Chordata, Mammalia, Primates, Cheirogaleidae.
AAAUCAUGUGAAUUAAAAUCUAUCGGCGCUGAGGUGGCCGAGCUGUCUCAGGGAGGCUGGUCGAGUUGGAGGGGUGGCUUACAGUCGCUGAUCCAGCAUCUCAGGGACGAUGGCGGAGGGAGAUAAUAAUCGUAGCACCAACUUGCUGGCUGCAGAGACUGCAAGUCUGGAAGAGCAGCUGCAAGGAUGGGGAGAAGUGAUGCUGAUGACGGAUAAAGUCCUCCGAUGGGAAAGAGCCUGGUUUCCACCUGCCAUCAUGGGUGUGGUUUCUUUGGUGUUUCUGAUUAUCUACUAUCUAGAUCCAUCUGUUCUGUCCGGUGUUUCCUGUUUUGUUUUUGUGCUUGGCUGACUACCUUGUUCCCAUUCUAGCGCCUAGAAUUUUUGGCUCCAAUAAGUGGACCACCAAACAACAGCAGAGAUUCCAUGAAAUUUGCAGCAAUCUAGUAAAAACUGGCGCAGAGCUGUGGGCUGGUGGAAACGCCUCUUCACACUAAAGGAAGAAAAGCCUAAAAUGUACUUCAUGACCAUGAUCAUUUCUCUUGCUGCGGUUGCUUGGGUGGGACAACAAGUCCACAACCUGCUUCUCACCUACCUGAUAGUGACUUUCUUACUGUUGCUUCCUGGACUUAACCAACAUGGAAUCAUUUCAAAGUACAUUGGAAUGGCCAAAAGGGAAAUCAACAAGCUUCUCAAACAAAAAGAAAAGAAAAAUGAAUAAUUCAUUUGCUUUCUUCAAUGUGAUUAAUGGAGUGUACAUUAUCCCUGGGAACAGUUUCUACUAUACUAUGUGGAUACUAAAAUGUUACAGAAGUAGCUCUUUGCUCUCCCUCACUCUGCCCGUAGUUAA